GAUGAAGAACGUAGCGAAAUGCGAUAAGUAAUGUGAAUUGCAGAAUUCAGUGAAUCAUCGAAUCUUUGAACGCACAUUGCGCCCGCCAGUAUUCUGGCGGGCAUGCCUGUUCGAGCGUCAUUACAACCCUCAGGCCCCCGGGCCUGGCGUUGGGGAUCGGCGGAAGCCCCCUGCGGGCACAACGCCGUCCCCCAAUUACAGUGGCGGUCCCGCCGCAGCUUCCAUUGCGUAGUAGCUAACACCUCGCAACUGGAGAGCGGCGCGGCCACGCCGUAAAACACCCAACUUCUGAAUGUUGACCUCGAAUCAGGUAGGAAUACCCGCUGAACUUAAGCAUAUCAAUAAGCGGAGGA
This 353-nucleotide unclassified non-coding RNA is filed under the name soil metagenome. RNAcentral describes it as "partial contains 5.8S ribosomal RNA, internal transcribed spacer 2, and large subunit ribosomal RNA". The stretch from base 1 to 120 matches the Rfam family "5.8S ribosomal RNA", at positions 35 to 154 of the family's 154-position model. The record is from RNAcentral.